This 575-nucleotide ribosomal RNA is filed under the name uncultured bacterium. Its description in RNAcentral is "partial 16S ribosomal RNA". It matches the Rfam family "Bacterial small subunit ribosomal RNA", at positions 355 to 923 of the family's 1533-position model. The record is from RNAcentral.
UGGGGAAUUUUGGACAAUGGGCGAAGCCUGAUCCAGCAAUGCCGCGUGUGUGAAGAAGGCCUUCGGGUUGUAAAGCACUUUUGUCCGGAAAGAAAUCCUUGGCUCUAAUACAGUCGGGGGAUGACGGUACCGGAAGAAUAAGCACCGGCUAACUACGUGCCAGCAGCCGCGGUAAUACGUAGGGUGCAAGCGUUAAUCGGAAUUACUGGGCGUAAAGCGUGCGCAGGCGGUUUGCUAAGACCGAUGUGAAAUCCCCGGGCUCAACCUGGGAACUGCAUUGGUGACUGGCAGGCUAGAGUAUGGCAGAGGGGGGUAGAAUUCCACGUGUAGCAGUGAAAUGCGUAGAGAUGUGGAGGAAUACCGAUGGCGAAGGCAGCCCCCUGGGCCAAUACUGACGCUCAUGCACGAAAGCGUGGGGAGCAAACAGGAUUAGAUACCCUGGUAGUCCACGCCCUAAAACGAUGUCAACUAGUUGUUGGGGAUUCAUUUCCUUAGUAACGUAGCUAACGCGUGAAGUUGACCGCCUGGGGAGUACGGUCGCAAGAUUAAAACUCAAAGGAAUUGACGGGGUCAUA